UGAGUCCAAAGUGGUUGCUACUUCCU
RNAcentral lists this non-coding RNA (26 nucleotides) under Mus musculus (house mouse). Lineage: Eukaryota; Metazoa; Chordata; Mammalia; Rodentia; Muridae. The record is from RNAcentral.